This 306-nucleotide unclassified non-coding RNA is filed under the name fungal sp. Its description in RNAcentral is "partial internal transcribed spacer region". The stretch from base 1 to 46 matches the Rfam family "Eukaryotic small subunit ribosomal RNA", at positions 1786 to 1831 of the family's 1831-position model. Lineage: Eukaryota; Fungi. The record is from RNAcentral.
AAGUCGUAACAAGGUUUCCGUAGGUGAACCUGCGGAAGGAUCAUUACCAAAUCCAAAUACCCAAACCCCAUGUGAACUAUUGUUUAGUCUGUCUUUGGGAGAAGGACAAAAAGAAAACUGUAUAUAUAAAAAUUUACUUUUUUAUAUCCUUUUUCUUGGAGUGUUUCUCCCAAUAGAGUCCGGCGCAAACUUUCGUUUGUGUCCAGAUUCGAAACCCCUUUAAACCACUUGAUUUUUCUGUUUGGAAUUUUCUUUUAUUAAUUUUAAAUAAAAGACAACUUUUAACGGUGGAUCUCUUGGCUCGUG